UGCAAAGGGAGAUAGCAAUGUAUUAAAAUUGGAACAAUACAGAGAUUAGCAUGACCUCUGCACAAAGAUGACAUGGAAAUUUGUGAAGUGCUCCAUAUUUUU
Erinaceus europaeus (western European hedgehog) is the source of this 102-nucleotide small nuclear RNA. NCBI's taxonomy places the organism in Eukaryota, Metazoa, Chordata, Mammalia, Eulipotyphla, Erinaceidae. The record is from Ensembl.